RNAcentral lists this ribosomal RNA (305 nucleotides) under uncultured bacterium. Its description in RNAcentral is "bacterial SSU rRNA". It matches the Rfam family "Bacterial small subunit ribosomal RNA", at positions 334 to 631 of the family's 1533-position model. The record is from RNAcentral.
UUUGCCUACGGGGGGCAGCAGUGGGGAAUAUUGCGCAAUGGGGGGAACCCUGACGCAGCAACGCCGCGUGGGUGAAGAAGGUCUUCGGAUCGUAAAACCCUGUUGUUAGAGAAGAAAGUGCGUGAGAGUAACUGUUCACGUUUCGACGGUAUCUAACCAGAAAGCCACGGCUAACUACGUGCCAGCAGCCGCGGUAGUACGUAGGUGGCAAGCGUUAUCCGGAUUUAUUGGGCGUAAAGGGAACGCAGGCGGUCUUUUAAGUCUGAUGUUAAAGACUUCGGCUUAACCGGAGUAGUGCAUUGGAA